Molecule: long non-coding RNA, 385 nt
Filed under: Rattus norvegicus (Norway rat)
Lineage: Eukaryota; Metazoa; Chordata; Mammalia; Rodentia; Muridae
Description: long non-coding RNA NONRATT026282
Source: RNAcentral
AGUUGAUGGAGUCCCGUACCCUACUACGUCAGUGGGUUCAAGCUCUUGUCCUGAGGUCUCAGCGGGUGAAGGCAGAGCACACCUCCUCCUUGGGCCUCUUUCCACCGUCGGACAGAUGGCUGGCACUUCGUCUCACUCGCUCCUGCUUUCUAGUGGACAGACUGUGACCUGGGACUGUGAUUUCCCGUAAUUGCUCAGGACAUCGCACGACUGAUUUAACUCCUGGAAUUCCGAUUCCAUCCUAUUGGCACGAAGUGGAAACUCGGAGCUUUGAACAAACGUUCCAGGUGGUCUGUAGUGCCCACCCUUGGAGACACACUAUUGAAGAUUUCUCUGCGCCUCUCUGAGGAAAGAGGAGGACCUGGAGACAAGUCUGCCUCACAAC